CGUAGCCCCGCCCUCAGCCAUGGCGGCAGCAGCGACAGGUAGGGGAGGGUGGCCCGGUCCGGCCCGGCUACCAUCUGCCGCAAUCCUUCGCCAUCCGCGGCCGGGCCCGCUCCCACGGACCGGGAGAGGAGCGGGGGCUUCCCGGGGCAGCGCGGGGCUCCCACUCUGACCAUGCGGAGGGAAGUAGGAAGGCGCCUGGAACAGCGGAGGUGGGUUGCGUCAUCGUAAUUAGCCUAACUGUGUCUUAAUUAGCUCUGCCGAACCUCCUCAGCCACCGAACAAGAGUCUGGCAGGGCUGAAACCCCACCACAGAGCUGCGGCGUGGGGUCCCGCUCGCGCCAGGUCGUGCUCCUGCUGACGCGAGGCGAGUUGGGGUGAUGCGAGGCAAGUUGGGGUGACGCCACGAGGUCCCGCUCGUCCCUCAUCACCCCUCGCUCCGGUUGGACCUUCUUGGGGUGGAGGGGGUGAUCAUGGCGACCACGCCGCGUGCCGGAACGCAGCCGGUGAGGCUUGCCCGUGCCAUCCGGCUGGGCACGGAGAGCCUCGAAGGCGGUGACGCCGCGAGUCGCACCCUGAUCUCUUUGACGGCUCGGUGGGUUUAUUUGGCAACCGCCACCGUUAUGGGUGUUGCCGCAAGCCUACCAGCGUGGGGGGGCCUGGCGUGGCCCCCGCCAUUCCUGCAGCGCUUGCCAGAGCAGCCCCGGGACAGUUUGAGGCCUCUCCCUGCCUUCCCCGGGGAGGGGUUAUAGACAUCCCAGACACCCCCGUGCCCAGGGGGAGCCCCGCGGCCCUCGGGCUGGGCCCGGCUGGCUGUGCCGAGCGCGGCGGUGCCGGUUGCCACCUCCUCCGGCCCCGCUGACACCGUUCAUUCCCUCUUUGGUUUCAGGUUCCCGCUCCAAUGCGGAGGGACGUAGGAAGGCACUGGGAACAGCAGAGGCAAACAAGUGGCUCCUGCAUGCUGGGACAGACAGGAGAAGGCAGCACGGGUCAGCCAUGCCCACCCACGCGGGUGUUUGUUCGGCUCUAACCGGCGAUUCUUGCCUGCUACCGCGAUGCCAGGGCUGGAAAGAGGAGCCGGCGUGAAGCCGCUGUCGGCGAUGCUUUUGCCACGCGGCCGAAUCCUGCCGGCAGUGAAAAUCUAUUAGGUCACCCGUUUUUGGCACAACCGCCGGGAAAACUGGAUGGCAACCCUCACAGAAAAGCUUGCCGUGCUCCUCGCUCGCUCGCUGGAUACCGGCACGGGGGUCCCCUCUCCGAUGAUCCUCACCUUGACUUGUCCUCCCCAGAGCUCCCAGUUACCUGGGUUUAACUGGGGAUACUGGGAUGAGAAUGGGUGGUGCCGGCCUCUUAAUAAAUAAUCGAUUUCCCGUUGG
This is a long non-coding RNA of Harpia harpyja (harpy eagle), 1373 nucleotides long. RefSeq lists it as uncharacterized. Lineage: Eukaryota; Metazoa; Chordata; Aves; Accipitriformes; Accipitridae. The transcript is spliced from 5 exons. The record is from RefSeq and is a predicted model, not a curated record.